This 72-nucleotide transfer RNA is filed under the name Salmo salar (Atlantic salmon). It matches the Rfam family "tRNA". From Rfam's summary of the family: Transfer RNA (tRNA) molecules are approximately 80 nucleotides in length. Their secondary structure includes four short double-helical elements and three loops (D, anti-codon, and T loops). The record is from Rfam by way of RNAcentral. Lineage: Eukaryota; Metazoa; Chordata; Actinopteri; Salmoniformes; Salmonidae.
ACCCGUGUGGCUCAGUUGGUAGAGCAUGUGGUUGCAACGCCAGGGUUGUGGGUUCGAUUCCCACCGGGGGCC